Molecule: small nuclear RNA, 105 nt
Filed under: Lactococcus lactis
Lineage: Bacteria; Bacillati; Bacillota; Bacilli; Lactobacillales; Streptococcaceae
Description: partial S013
Source: RNAcentral
UUGUUUUUUGACAAGUUCUAAGAAAAUCAUUUGAUUUUAAAUUUACGGUGGCACCGCGCUCAAAGCGCCCGUAGGACUUUUUAUAGUUCUAUGGGUGCUUUUUUU